GGGGUUGUGACUCAGUGGUAGAGUGCUUGCUUAGCACGUGUGAGGCACUGGGUUCAAUCCUCAACACCA
RNAcentral lists this transfer RNA (69 nucleotides) under Marmota monax (woodchuck). RNAcentral's name for it is "tRNA.Ala". Lineage: Eukaryota; Metazoa; Chordata; Mammalia; Rodentia; Sciuridae. The record is from RNAcentral.